AUUGAACGCUGGCGGCAGGCCUAACACAUGCAAGUCGAACGGUAACAGGGAUCAGCUUGCUGAUUCGCUGACGAGUGGCGGACGGGUGAGUAAUGUCUGUGAAACUGCCUGAUGGAGGGGGAUAACUACUGGAAACGGUAGCUAAUACCGCAUAACGUCGCAAGACCAAAGAGGGGGACCUUCGGGCCUCUUGCCAUCGGCUGUGCCCAGAUGGGAUUAGCUAGUAGGUGGGGUAACGGCUCACCUAGGCGACGAUCCCUAGCUGGUCUGAGAGGAUGACCAGCCACACUGGAACUGAGACACGGUCCAGACUCCUACGGGAGGCAGCAGUGGGGAAUAUUGCACAAUGGGCGCAAGCCUGAUGCAGCCAUGCCGGGUGGAUGAAGAAGGCCUUCGGGUGGUAAAGUACUUUCAGCGGGAAGGAAGGGAGUAAAGUUAAUACCUUUGCUCAUGGACGUUACCCGCAGAAGAAGCACCGGCUAACUCCGU
RNAcentral lists this ribosomal RNA (489 nucleotides) under uncultured bacterium. Its description in RNAcentral is "partial 16S ribosomal RNA". It matches the Rfam family "Bacterial small subunit ribosomal RNA", at positions 30 to 506 of the family's 1533-position model. The record is from RNAcentral.